GGCUGGUCCAAAGGUAGUGAGUUAUCUCACUUAAUUAUUCAGUGAGUUACAGAUUGAACUCCUUAUUCUACUCUUUACCCCUGUCUCACUACUGCACUUGACUAGUCUUAA
Molecule: Y RNA, 111 nt
Filed under: Microcebus murinus (gray mouse lemur)
Lineage: Eukaryota; Metazoa; Chordata; Mammalia; Primates; Cheirogaleidae
Description: Y RNA (ENSMICG00000046844.1)
Rfam family: Y RNA
About the family: Y RNAs are components of the Ro ribonucleoprotein particle (Ro RNP), in association with Ro60 and La proteins. The Y RNAs and Ro60 and La proteins are well conserved, but the function of the Ro RNP is not known.
Source: Rfam by way of RNAcentral